CCGCGGAAUAUGUGAAUUUGUGGUUCUUCUCUAGGUUCAUAGAGUAUUGUUUAUUUACACUUUUACGUUGAGUUGACUUUGUGACGAAACCUAAUAAAGUAAUUUAAAAGUCGAAACUAAAAAGGAAACUGGCACCCUACAGGGCCGCCUCUGUGAGGCAGCUUGAGAUUCUGUUAGAAGUUGCUGAAAGCAACUCAAAUAUUGCACUCGAUGGCCUCGGUGGAGGACCUCUCGGCCGCCAGGUAGCUCUUAAAAAUGGGAAGAGCUUUCCAGAAAGCUCAAUUCUGUGGGGGCAGGGUGUAUUAAACCUUCGUGGAGUGGAAGCGAAUUCCUGACCUGCCUACUCAACCAAGUACAUCUACAUGUACAUCACCAAUACGAGAAAUCAUUAUUGAUGAGCAGCUUAGUGACAACUAUACAACAAACAGAGGAGCCUUCACAAAUAGAAGCUACACAUAACCCGCUACAUAUUUCACUAGCAUUAGAAGUUUCUCAGUCUGUCUAUCAUGUUGAUACUGAGAUACCAGAAGUUAGCACACCAACCAGCACACAGCACCGUCAGCCUUUAAGAAGUAAUAAACUUAUCCAAAUAUAUUUGUAACCUUUUCAUAGCCAUUGUUCACCUAACAACUAACAUUUUUAAAUUCCAUUAAUAACAAGAUAUUAAGAUAAGCCUUUAUUAACUGAAUUGAAUUACAUUAAUGCUAUGUACAUAAUAUAUUUCAAAUAAAUAAAUAAUAUUUUAGUUUU
Maniola jurtina (meadow brown) is the source of this 750-nucleotide long non-coding RNA. RefSeq lists it as uncharacterized. NCBI's taxonomy places the organism in Eukaryota, Metazoa, Arthropoda, Insecta, Lepidoptera, Nymphalidae. The record is from RefSeq and is a predicted model, not a curated record. The transcript has 2 exons.